This 251-nucleotide ribosomal RNA is filed under the name uncultured prokaryote. RNAcentral's name for it is "partial 16S rRNA". It matches the Rfam family "Bacterial small subunit ribosomal RNA", at positions 525 to 775 of the family's 1533-position model. The record is from RNAcentral.
ACGGAGGGUGCAAGCGUUAUUUGGAUUUAUUGGGCGUAAAGGGCGCGUAGGCGGCUUAUCAGGUCGGAUGUGAAAGCCCGCAGCUUAACUGCGGAAGUGCAUCCGAAACCGGCAGGCUUGAGUGUGGGAGAGGGAAACGGAAUUCCCGGUGUGGGGUUGCAAUGAGUAGAGCUGGGGAGGAACCCCUGAGGCGAGAGCAAUUUCCCGGACCAAAACUGCCUCUGGUGCGGGCGGGCGCGGUGAACUAGCAG